GAUGAACGCUGGCGGCGUGCCUAACACAUGCAAGUCGAGCGAUUCUCUUCGGAGAAGAGCGGCGGACGGGUGAGUAACGCGUGGGUAACCUGCCCUGUACACACGGAUAACAUACCGAAAGGUAUGCUAAUACGGGAUAAUAUGCUUUAGUCGCAUGGCUGAAGUAUCAAAGCUCCGGCGGUACAGGAUGGACCCGCGUCUGAUUAGCUAGUUGGUAAGGUAAUGGCUUACCAAGGCGACGAUCAGUAGCCGACCUGAGAGGGUGAUCGGCCACAUUGGAACUGAGACACGGUCCAAACUCCUACGGGAGGCAGCAGUGGGGAAUAUUGCACAAUGGGCGAAAGCCUGAUGCAGCAACGCCGCGUGAGCGAUGAAGGCCUUCGGGUCGUAAAGCUCUGUCCUCAAGGAAGAUAACGACGGUACUUGAGGAGGAAGCCCCGGCUAACUACGUGCCAGCAGCCGCAGUAA
RNAcentral lists this ribosomal RNA (468 nucleotides) under uncultured bacterium. RNAcentral's name for it is "partial 16S ribosomal RNA". It matches the Rfam family "Bacterial small subunit ribosomal RNA", at positions 28 to 523 of the family's 1533-position model. The record is from RNAcentral.